Molecule: ribosomal RNA, 206 nt
Filed under: uncultured bacterium
Lineage: Bacteria
Description: partial 16S ribosomal RNA
Rfam family: Bacterial small subunit ribosomal RNA
Source: RNAcentral
CGCGUAGGCGGCCACGCGUGUCUUUCGUGAAAUCCCUCGGCUUAACUGAGGACGUGCGGAAGAAACUGCGAGGCUCGAGUCCGGGAGAGGGGGUGGAAUUCCCAGUGUAGCGGUGAAAUGCGUAGAUAUUGGGAGGAACACCGGUGGCGAAGGCGGCCCCCUGGACCGGUACUGACGCUGAUGCGCGAAAGCGUGGGGAGCAAACG